This 253-nucleotide ribosomal RNA is filed under the name uncultured bacterium. Its description in RNAcentral is "partial 16S ribosomal RNA". It matches the Rfam family "Bacterial small subunit ribosomal RNA", at positions 524 to 776 of the family's 1533-position model. The record is from RNAcentral.
UACAGAGGUCUCAAGCGUUGUUCGGAUUCAUUGGGCGUAAAGGGUGCGUAGGCGGCGCGGUAAGUCGGAUGUGAAAUCUCGGAGCUUAACUUCGAAACUGCAUUCGAUACUGCCGUGCUUGAGGACUGGAGAGGAGACUGGAAUUUACGGUGUAGCGGUGAAAUUCGUAGAUAUUCGGAAGAACACCAGUGGCGAAGGCGACUCGCUGGACAGACAUUGACGCUGAGGUGCGAAAGCGUGGGGAGCAAACAGG